CUGUGUUUCUUUAAAAUUCUCAUGUGGCAGUGUUGCAUUUUGAACAACUGAUCAGGACCAGAACUUUAUUUCUUUGUUUGUUUGUGGUAUUUUUAUUUUGUGUUAUGAAAGACAUCUUUAACAUAGGAGUCCUACAUGAGACUUUAAUUUCUUGGACAUGUAGGAAAGUGUAGAAUUUUUUUUUCAGUGAUUCACAAAACUCAAGUAACAUAUUCUUCAAUUACAGACCACCUCAGAGGACACAGUGCAAUAUGCUUUUCUGCCUUUGUGUAAAUUUUUCUCUCCAACAUCAGAGUUGUCCUGAAUAGAAAAGGCUCACGUGAGCUCCUAAGAUCCAUUUUUUUAAACUAUGGUGAAGAAAAGUCCCCAUGAAAUCUGAAUUUGCCGACCUAGAAUUCUUAAUUUCAUGUGGACUGAGAAAAGGCAGCUAUUUUAAACCGGGAUUGUGUGAGAUUUUAGUGUAGUCUUCCAGCCUGCCUCUAUGGUAAGCUUUUACAG
This 498-nucleotide long non-coding RNA is filed under the name Cyanistes caeruleus (blue tit). Its description in RNAcentral is "lncRNA (ENSCCEG00000013180.1)". Lineage: Eukaryota; Metazoa; Chordata; Aves; Passeriformes; Paridae. The record is from RNAcentral.